CACAUCUCCCACACAGACUAACUGAUGGCUUAUCACACUAUAGACGCUGUUUCCAGGAAGAUCAGCCUCGAUUUUGAAGCAGAUCAGAUUGGGAGAGCUCAGAAAAUGCAGAGCUCAGCAACCUCAGAGAGAAGAAUAAAACUCAGCAACAUGAAGUCCAUAUACCAGAAGCAGAACCAGAAGCUGAAGCAGAAGGGAUCCCUGGUUUGCAGACUGAAUAUUUUGGCUAUUUUGUGCAAUUCAAAGAAGUUGAUGGUUUCAUUCGCACUGGAUAGGAAUGGUUUGAAAGUAUCCCUGAAAGUAGAAGAAAACUGCAGUUGUCUGUACAGAAUAACUAAAGAAACAGAAAUUCAUUCACAGUAAAAUCUGUCCCAAAGACACUUUCUGCAUCGGGAAGCUACAGUUUAUUAUUAGAAGAUCCCUGGGGUUUCCAGGAUCUUUGAGGUGCAUGGAAGAAGGC
This 460-nucleotide long non-coding RNA is filed under the name Phasianus colchicus (ring-necked pheasant). RNAcentral's name for it is "lncRNA (ENSPCLG00000002224.1)". The record is from RNAcentral. Lineage: Eukaryota; Metazoa; Chordata; Aves; Galliformes; Phasianidae.